Long non-coding RNA from Mauremys mutica (yellowpond turtle), 715 nucleotides. RefSeq lists it as uncharacterized. The transcript has 3 exons. Lineage: Eukaryota; Metazoa; Chordata; Testudines; Geoemydidae. The record is from RefSeq and is a predicted model, not a curated record.
UGACUGCAGAAAAGGCAGGACACUCUUCCAGGAAAAAAACCUGAUAGAGAGUUUCUUGGGGGUGUGAACCUUAAGGCAAGGCUUAGAAAGAGCAUAAGAGAGGCCAUGGGGAAGCUGCUGGAGUUCCCAGGAAGAUGAGGCAGUAGGAGAAAACCCUGCUGAACAAGAAACAACAGGGGAGGAACUCUGCAUGAAUAGGUUAGGUGCCUGUGGGAGGGAAGGCCAAAAGUAGGGCAAGUAUGAGCACUUCAGUGAAGUCUCAGUGGGUGGAAGACUCGUUAGUUUAGAGGUUUACUUGGAUUUUUCAGUAGACUUUUGUUAUCCUAGAAGAGGUUUAGAACUUAUGUGAGUUGCUCAGAAGGCCAGGCCACAGAAGACUUUGGAAGUCAGGGAUGUGUGAAGAUAGGUGGCCUGUAAAGGGUGCUAGAGGAAAAAACUAUGAUAACACCCUGACUCCUGGGGGUGCAUAUGUGGAGCUUUUGAGCAGAGAAAGCAGCAACAAGAUGUUCCUGUAGGUGUUCAGCACCUCUCAGGAUCUCUGCCAUAGCUUGGAAGGGUGGCUCUAACUCAGCUAGGUACCACCUACAGAAGCAAAACGAAACAGUGCUACAACACGAUCCCUAACUCUGUAAAUUUGGCAAUGUGAUAAGGUCUUGAUGAAAAAUGCCAUAUGCUAUCUGUAUGCAGGGUUGGUAGCUGUACUGGUCCCAUGAUA